Molecule: non-coding RNA, 208 nt
Organism: Oryza brachyantha (malo sina)
Lineage: Eukaryota; Viridiplantae; Streptophyta; Magnoliopsida; Poales; Poaceae
Source: Rfam
AAUAACCUCAUUUUUCGUUUUUCCGUGUCCAACGUUGGACCAUUCGUCUUAUUUGAAAUUUUUUUGCGAUUAAUAUUUUUAUUAUUACUAGAUAAUAAAAUAUAAAUAGUACUUUAUAUGUGACUAAUUUUUUUAUGUUUUGUACAAAUUUUUCAAAUAAGACGAAUGGUUAAACGUUGGACACGGAAAAACGAAAAAUGGGCUUAUU